GAUGAACGCUGGCGGCGUGCCUAAUACAUGCAAGUCGAGCGAACAGAUAAGGAGCUUGCUCCUUUGACGUUAGCGGCGGACGGGUGAGUAACACGUGGGUAACCUACCUAUAAGACUGGGAUAACUUCGGGAAACCGGAGCUAAUACCGGAUAACAUUUGGAACCGCAUGGUUCUAAAGUGAAAGAUGGUUUUGCUAUCACUUAUAGAUGGACCCGCGCCGUAUUAGCUAGUUGGUAAGGUAACGGCUUACCAAGGCGACGAUACGUAGCCGACCUGAGAGGGUGAUCCGCCACACUGGAACUGAGACACGGUCCAGACUCCUACGGGAGGCAGCAGUAGGGAAUCUUCCGCAAUGGGCGAAAGCCUGACGGAGCAACGCCGCGUGAGUGAUGAAGGGUUUCGGCUCGUAAAACUCUGUUAUUAGGGAAGAACAAAUGUGUAAGUAACUGUGCACGUCUUGACGGUACCUAAUCAGAAAGCCACGGCUAACUACGUG
Molecule: ribosomal RNA, 497 nt
Filed under: uncultured bacterium
Lineage: Bacteria
Description: partial 16S ribosomal RNA
Rfam family: Bacterial small subunit ribosomal RNA
Source: RNAcentral